Molecule: ribosomal RNA, 492 nt
Filed under: uncultured bacterium
Lineage: Bacteria
Description: partial 16S ribosomal RNA
Rfam family: Bacterial small subunit ribosomal RNA
Source: RNAcentral
AGUGAACGCUGGCGGUAGGCCUAACACAUGCAAGUCGAACGGCAGCACAGUAAGAGCUUGCUCUUACGGGUGGCGAGUGGCGGACGGGUGAGGAAUACAUCGGAAUCUACUUUUUCGUGGGGGAUAACGUAGGGAAACUUACGCUAAUACCGCAUACGACCUACGGGUGAAAGCAGGGGAUCUUCGGACCUUGCGCGAUUGAAUGAGCCGAUGUCGGAUUAGCUAGUUGGCGGGGUAAAGGCCCACCAAGGCGACGAUCCGUAGCUGGUCUGAGAGGAUGAUCAGCCACACUGGAACUGAGACACGGUCCAGACUCCUACGGGAGGCAGCAGUGGGGAAUAUUGGACAAAGGGCGCAAGCCUGAUCCAGCCAUACCGCGUGGGUGAAGAAGGCCUUCGGGUUGUAAAGCCCUUUUGUUGGGAAAGAAGGGCAGCAGGUUAAUACCCCGCUGUUCUGACGGUACCCAAAGAAUAAGCACCGGCUAACUUCGUG